CCACUGGCCCGAUUCGGAAUGGCGUCACACCACAGUCAGUUCAGAGCCUGGGGAACAAAGCCUGCCAAGCAACGGAACUGUGCGCAUCAUGAAUGAAAAACUAUAAAAGAAGCAGAGCCCUGCAAUGUUGGGUUUGAUGCUGCAGAGCAUAUAGGCAUUGGAUGGCAAAAAGAGAAGCAACAGAACUGUGGACACCGUUGGGUUUCUAUGCCUUUUCGUGACUUGCGAUUGGCAGGGGCUCUAGGGCCUUUCUACAACUGGGAAGUGAAGCAGGAGCUGAUGGGCUCCUACAAGAAGGAGGUCGUCACCGUCAACGGACAGACUUCCGGCCCCACCAUCCAGGCACAUCAGGGAGAGAGUUUUCGUCAGACUUGCCAACAUUUUGAGCGAGAAUGUGGCGAUUCAUUGGCACAACACCCAACAGAUUCAAAGUCUAGAGAGCGAUGGAACAGGUGACGUCAUUCCAAGGCCCAUUUCAGAAAAACUUUCACCUAUAUUUUCAUCAUCCAUCAGCUUGGAAAAUCUCAGUUACGACUC
Long non-coding RNA from Eucalyptus grandis, 537 nucleotides. RefSeq lists it as uncharacterized. The transcript is spliced from 4 exons. The record is from RefSeq and is a predicted model, not a curated record. NCBI's taxonomy places the organism in Eukaryota, Viridiplantae, Streptophyta, Magnoliopsida, Myrtales, Myrtaceae.